Long non-coding RNA from Seriola aureovittata, 678 nucleotides. RefSeq lists it as uncharacterized. The record is from RefSeq and is a predicted model, not a curated record. The transcript is spliced from 5 exons. NCBI's taxonomy places the organism in Eukaryota, Metazoa, Chordata, Actinopteri, Carangiformes, Carangidae.
GUACCCUUAAUUAAAUUCAGAGAAUAGUUUCCUGCUUCCACCUGUUUCCAGUCCCUAUGAUAAUGAACGACUCCACCAGGUAGGUGGUCUCCGUGGCCAGCCGCUGCUCCUGAUCGAUGUUGUAUCCCACGUAGCAGAGCUUCUCCUUCAGCAUACGCACGGUCUCAAAGUCGGCUGAGUGGUUGAAGGCGUAACCGCGGAGCAGCAGGAGCUGGUGGUGAAGGUGAAGGUGGAUAAAAAAAAAAAAGACCAGACAGUACAUCUGAAACUCUGCCGACUCACCUUGAUGAGGUAGCGUGUGAUGUCACGUCCAGCGAUGUCCAGCCUGCGUGUGAGGUGGGGUAAUGAAAAGCCCUCGUACACUGGACAGAUGUGGGUGACACCAUCCCCUGAGUCAACCACCACACCGCAUACAGAGUGAGCACCGCCUGAAUCGCCACAUAGAUGCCGUGGAACUGGUACUUCUCAAACAUGACCUCUGCGAUCUUUUCCCGGUUCUUGGUGGGGUUCAUGGGUGGUUCAGUCAGCAGGAUCUUGGAAAGCACCUGCCCGGCGGUUUUAUACCUUGCAUUCUGAUGGGUCGAUGUUCAGGCGGUCGGCACCGAAGGUGUAGUCCCACAGGUGGAGCAUGUCGUCCCAACAGCGCACCAUACCGUUCUCCAUGGGGUAGGACACCUC